Molecule: small nuclear RNA, 134 nt
Organism: Otolemur garnettii (small-eared galago)
Lineage: Eukaryota; Metazoa; Chordata; Mammalia; Primates; Galagidae
Source: Ensembl
AAAAGGGGCUUCUAUAGGGAGUGGCACACGUAGAGCAAUUCUGUUGCUCUUUGUGGGAAAUCAGCAUCAAGAGGUUUCAGAGGCAAAAUGUUUUGGUAUCGAGGCUGCUGGUGAUUGUUGGUCCCGGCACCCUU